This is an RNA transcript of Zea mays, 4142 nucleotides long. It is a transcript of the gene named zinc finger CCCH domain-containing protein 4, with no coding region annotated. The record is from RefSeq and is a predicted model, not a curated record. NCBI's taxonomy places the organism in Eukaryota, Viridiplantae, Streptophyta, Magnoliopsida, Poales, Poaceae. The transcript has 13 exons.
ACCCUGUCAAACCCUAGCUAUUAUCUACUGGGUUUCUUUCUUGGUGUUGAUAGUUUGUUGGAGAUUAGGCGUUUGAUUUCCUUUACAAAAUAGGUUCAGUUUGGAAUUGCGGCCAAAGCAAUGUUUUCAUGUGGUUUCAUCAAUUUUAGUUUCUAUAUUUACAUGUGUUUGAUUGUCCCUUGCCCUCGUUUAGAUAGAGAUUUCUAUCAAGAGUAUAGAAAGUUGGUGCCUGACAACUAGCUGCUUGCAUUCAUCCACCCCCUACUCUUAUCUUGCAAAAGCCCACUUCUUGUGUUUUGCUUGUAUAUAUAUUAGGCUAGACCAAAGUGCGGUUAAGUAACCUCUAACAAAUUGUCAUGACAUGAGCUGAUUAGCGGUCUAUUGUAAGCCCGCUCGGACUUACGAAAGUGGAGGUCACAUUUCCAUUCCACAAAUGCAUGUAGAUUUUGGUUCAGACUUCCAUCAGUGAAUGAAAAAAGGAAAAGCAAGAGAGAAUAGCAAGUACUUAUAUCAGUAUAAAAAUAUACCAAUGGGUAGUGAGCCUGCAACGUUGUGUACGUAUACAUGGGGAAAAUAUUUGGUUUGUGGCUUGUGUGAAAGGACAAUUUAGGUUUGUAUUCUAUAUCUGAGGACCAUUCAUAGCUUUCAGAUUUUGUUAUAAUUGUCAUCCCAUGGUUCUGCUCGGAACAACUCUUUCUCUAGGAUUGUUUUGGGACUGGUCAUUGCGGGCAUGUUGAGGGUAUUUAGUUAAGCAAUUUUGUUAUUAUUUUAGAUUGAGUACAUCAACUCGUUGGUUGCUUACAUUUUCUUGGUCCCUAGAGCUACUCACCUCGCUGGUUGUUUACAUUUCCUUGUUCCUGGGAUCCACUUUCCUAAAAUGAAUCUGUUUUAAUCUUGUAACUGGAACUGGUGGAUAUUUUGAUAGGGAAAUUACGAUGAUUGAUUUAUGGAUUUGAGUUUCAGUUUUUUUUUGCUUGUACUGGCCUCUUGAGAUUGGAAGACUGGCGUUGUUGUGGGCUUGUGGCAUAGGCUUCCUUUGUGGGUCUUUUUCUCAUCUGAUGUAAACAAUAUUUUUUAGUCUGGUAACGGUGCAAAGGCAAAUGGGGCAUCAUCACAUAUCUAGGUCAUAUUUUCGACAGACAGAUAUAAAACGGAGUGGGAAUGCCUCGAUUGAUAUCAUGUCCAAGUUCUUCAAGCUGAUGGUGUUCUACAAUUAAUGAAUGAUUUGAACCGAAGUGUUCAAGAUGCCGCUAUCUCUUGUAUUGAGGUUAGUUAAUUCCAUAUUUGAUAUUGUCUGUGUAUGCCUACUUCAGCCGACAUUGUGUUUUUUCUAGACCCAUGGUGACUGGUAUGAUCUCUAUUUCUAUUGGACUUGUUCAAUUUCCCAAUAGUUACAUCCCAUAUUUACAAGCUGGAGAGAUUGAGACAUUUUUUAUAACAUCUUAUCUAUUAAAACUCCAUGUCGUUUGCUCCACCAGGGGCUUCCAGUGCGCUUUUUUCCCUCGAUCUCGUGUGAUCUGAGUGUGAGAAGGCUUAUAGUGUGCUUGAGGUUCUUCGACCUCUCUAUAAUUCCCCUAAGAUACUGGAACAAAAGGUAACUGUUGCGAUAUAUGUCAAUCUUCAAUUUCGUUGUCGCUUAGCAGUUGUUGGGCUUUGGUACCCAGUCUGUAAUUUUGCUGAUGCACCAGCGACACAUAUUUAUCAUUGUUUAUUUUUUAAUCAAUAACAAAGCACAGGUACAAUAUAAUCUUAUAUAGCUUUUAAGGUAUGUAAACAUCCACUUUAGUGAUGCUAACAAAUGUAUAAAAUAAUUAUUAUUAUUUUUUCAUAGCAAUAUAUUUUAUCAUAUUGCAUCUUAGUUCAUGCUACCUGGAUGUAAAUGUGGUGCGGUUUAGUUUAGUAAGAUCUUCACUAAUCACUACAUAGUGCAGCACUGGGCUGUUAAUAUUUUUUGUACCAUGUGUCAUAAGCAUGAGAUGUUGCCUGUAGAGUACCAAUGCUUUAUUGCAGUCUUCCUCCUCGUCUGCCCCAAUGUCGGCAAGUCAGCCCUCUUCAACAGGUGAGAGACACCUUAGGAAGGCAUCGGUCAUUGCCUCUCGCCUGUAGUUUCUAUGCCGCUAUGAGGGGUGGUGGCAUUUCCUCAAAUACGUUGCAUGUAUCACUGUAACUGUUCUUCCCCUUCCGUUACCAUUAACCCAUGCAUCUAAUUACUUGUAUAUUUUACGUUACCGUUUUCCUGUUCUCAACAUUUCAGAUUCUAGAUGAUGGUACGACAAAUUAUUUUAGGAGCGCUUUGACAUAAUUUAAAGCUUGGAAGGGAGCUUUCUAUGAUUUAUUUUUCUGACUGUUUCGUCACAUGUUCUUUCCCUAGAUGAAAGUAUUGAUUUAUUUUUGGUUCUGCAGGAUCAUUGCGUCUCUGCGAGCUAAUCAGUUCUGUGAGCGUCUCCCUAGCCCCAAUGGCGAGUCAACUGUUGAUUGCCAUCAGAUCUCAAAGAUGCCAAAUCUUGCAUUCACCAUAGCAAACAAGACUUUCACCUUAACACCAGAGCAGUACAUAGUGAAGUUGGAGCAAGCAGGACAAACUAUCUGCAUCAGUGGGUUUAUGGCAUUUGACGUACCGCCUCCUUGUGGUCCUCUCUGCUAUGCUAAACAUAUCUGUACUACUCUUAAGUGUGCAAUGAGGGCGUCCACCGAGGGCAUCACCGUGCCCCCGCUCGCCCCUCCACGCCCGCGCCUGUCUGUGUCCGCCCCCUUCGUCUCCCCGCAAUGGCCGCGUCCCUACCUCAUGUCUACGACGACAACUAGGGUAAACAUGAAGAAGUCAUCGGGCUCGGGCUCGGUGUCGUUGGCGCGGAGCAUCCCGGAGCUGUACGAGGAGAGGGGAGCCAGCAGCCUCCGGGAGUUCGGGUUCCAGGAGCUCCGGGCCGCCACCAGCGACUUCAGCCGCCUGCUCAAGGUCGGCGAGGUGGCUUUGGGAGCGUUUACAAGGGCGUCGUCUGCCUUCCUGGCAGGCCCGCCGGCGGCACGGUAGUUGCCAUAAAAAACUCAAUCCCAAUGGUCAUCAGAAGUUCAAGGUUAUCUCAUUCUGGCAUAUCUCAUUUGCCUGCUGAUGAAGUGAAGCCUUUGGUUAAAUAUGAUAAUGAUGAAGAUGCACACUCACCUAGUGGCCGUGGAAGGGGUCGUGGUGGUCGAGGCCGUGGGCGGGGCAGGGGCAGAGGUGGACGUGGAAAUGGGUUCAAUGAGUAUGUUGAUGCUGGUUGGGAAGACGAUCACGCCCCUGCAUAUAUGGGCAAUGGAUAUGCCCGUGGAAGAGGUCGCAGUUUCAGGGGCCGUGGUAGGAGAGGCGACGACGAUAACUAGCCUGAAUACCAACAGGUCGGAGGUUAUUUCAAGAAGAUCCAAUUGAACCAAAAACCGGAAUAAAAUUUCCAACAUUUUUGGAAGACGACUCCAGUCCAUCUGCAGCGGUCCUUGUUGGGAUAGGUUUCAAAGGCAUGAGAGUGAUGAGGGUCAAAAAUCUGAACCUCUACGCUUUUGGUUUAUAUAUGCAACCAACUUCUAUCCGUGAGAAGUUGGGUCCUAAGUAUGCUUCAUUUCCAACUAACAAGCUGAUGGAGAACCCUGAUUUCUAUAGUGAUCUUCUCAGGAAAUGGGUUCAAUGAGUAUGCUGAUGCUGGUUGGGAAGACGAUCACUCCCCUGCAUAUAUGGGCAAUGGAUAUGCCCGUGGAAGAGGUCGCGGUUUCAGGGGCCGUGGUAGGAGAGGCGGCGACAAUAACCAGCCUGAAUACCAACAGGUCGGAGGUUAUUACGAGGAGGCACCUGUUCAUGCUCCAGCUUUAGGUGGGUAACCUCACAGGACACAAAUGAAGUGUACAAAAUAUUUUCAAACAAAAUUAAGCAAGACCUGAAGAUAAUCUGAAGAGCUUUGUACAGGCGAUUUUUGAUCAUUGUCGAUCCUGAUUCCUGAUGCUUUUAUUUUUUUCAACAACAGAUUUUCACCAUUUGUAAUGGAACUGAAACCAGCCUCUCAUCGAAGUGGAAACCUUUUUUUAGUCGUAAACAUUUACAUGGUUUAUCCAGUGGUAUGCUGAUGAAAGAUGCUAAGUUUCGCUUAAUAUAAUGUAUAUGAAGGUCCUGUGUA